GAUGAACGCUGGCGGCGUGCCUAAUACAUGCAAGUCGAGCGAACAGACGAGGUGCUUGUUCCUCUGACGUUAGCGGCGGACGGGUGAGUAACACGUGGAUAACCUACCUAUAAGACUGGGAUAACUUCGGGAAACCGGUGCUAAUACCGGAUAAUAUAUUUAAACGCAUGGUUCAAUAGUGAAAGAUGGUUUUGCUUUCCCUUAUAGAUGGAUCCGCGUCGCAUUAGCUAGUUGGUAAGGUAACGGCUUACCAAGGCGACGAUGCGUAGCCGACCUGAGAGGGUGAUCGGCCACACUGGAACUGAGACACGGUCCAAACUCCUACGGGAGGCAGCAGUAGGGAAUCUUCGGCAAUGGGCGAAAGCCUGACGGAGCAACGCCGCGUGAGUGAUGAAGGUCUUCGGAUCGUAAAACUCUGUUAUUAGGGAAGAACAAAUGUGUAAGUAACUAUGCACGUCUUGACGGUACCUAAUCAGAAAGCCACGGCUAACUACGUG
RNAcentral lists this ribosomal RNA (497 nucleotides) under uncultured bacterium. RNAcentral's name for it is "partial 16S ribosomal RNA". It matches the Rfam family "Bacterial small subunit ribosomal RNA", at positions 28 to 507 of the family's 1533-position model. The record is from RNAcentral.